GACGAACGCUGGCGGCGUGCCUAAUACAUGCAAGUUGAGCGCUGAAGGUUGGUACUUGUACCGACUGGAUGAGCAGCGAACGGGUGAGUAACGCGUGGGGAAUCUGCCUUUGAGCGGGGGACAACAUUUGGAAACGAAUGCUAGUACCGCAUAAAAACUUUAAACACAAGUUUUAAGUUUGAAAGAUGCAAUUGCAUCACUCAAAGAUGAUCCCGCGUUGUAUUAGCUAGUUGGUGAGGUAAAGGCUCACCAAGGCGAUGAUACAUAGCCGACCUGAGAGGGUGAUCGGCCACAUUGGGACUGAGACACGGCCCAAACUCCUACGGGAGGCAGCAGUAGGGAAUCUUCGGCAAUGGACGAAAGUCUGACCGAGCAACGCCGCGUGAGUGAAGAAGGUUGUCGGAUCGUAAAACUCUGUUGGUAGAGAAGAACGUUGGUGAGAGUGGAAAGCUCAUCAAGUGACGGUAACUACCCAGAAAGGGACGGCUAACUACGUG
This 497-nucleotide ribosomal RNA is filed under the name uncultured bacterium. Its description in RNAcentral is "partial 16S ribosomal RNA". It matches the Rfam family "Bacterial small subunit ribosomal RNA", at positions 28 to 507 of the family's 1533-position model. The record is from RNAcentral.